AAGGGCAAGACAGGAGAAAGAGGGUCCAGUGGAUUACCAGGCCCACCAGGACUCGAGGGUUUCCCUGGUGACAUCGGAAAACCUGGACUCAAUGGACCCGAGGGCCCAAAGGGUAAGCCUGGUGCCAGAGGUUUACCUGGACCUCGUGGAGCGGCUGGACGAGAGGGUGAUGAGGGUCCUGUAGGACCACCGGGGCCAGUAGGACUCGAGG
Sinocyclocheilus anshuiensis is the source of this 211-nucleotide long non-coding RNA. RefSeq lists it as uncharacterized. NCBI's taxonomy places the organism in Eukaryota, Metazoa, Chordata, Actinopteri, Cypriniformes, Cyprinidae. The record is from RefSeq and is a predicted model, not a curated record. The transcript is spliced from 4 exons.